GGCCUCUUGGUACUUACUCCAGGUUCUUACAGCGACUGCACUGAACAAGGAGGCAGAGAAAUCUCUCCCUGUGUACACCUCAGCCUGGUCCCUGUCCCUGGUCUGUCUUGUGAAUGGGAAGCAUGG
RNAcentral lists this small nucleolar RNA (126 nucleotides) under Castor canadensis (American beaver). Its description in RNAcentral is "Small nucleolar RNA SNORA51 (ENSCCNG00000008871.1)". It matches the Rfam family "Small nucleolar RNA SNORA51". From Rfam's summary of the family: ACA51 is a member of the H/ACA class of snoRNA that guide the sites of modification of uridines to pseudouridines. Lineage: Eukaryota; Metazoa; Chordata; Mammalia; Rodentia; Castoridae. The record is from Rfam by way of RNAcentral.